Molecule: ribosomal RNA, 470 nt
Filed under: uncultured bacterium
Lineage: Bacteria
Description: bacterial SSU rRNA
Rfam family: Bacterial small subunit ribosomal RNA
Source: RNAcentral
AAGAUUUAUCGCUUGGAGAGAGGCUUCGUUCCUAUCAGCUUGUUGGUGAGGUAAUGGCUCACCAAGGCGACGACGGGUAGCUGGUCUAAGAGGACGAUCAGCCACAAGGGAACUGAGACACGGUCCCUACUCCUACGGGAGGCAGCAGUUGGGAAUAUUGCGCAAUGGACGAAAGUCUGACGCAGCGACGCCGCGUGAUCGAUGAAGUCUUUCGGGAUGUAAAGAUCUUUUCUCUGGGAAGAUUAUGACGGUACCAGAGGAAUAAGCAUCGGCUAACUACGUGCCAGCAGCCGCGGUAAUACGUAGGAUGCGAGCGUUAUCCGGAAUUAUUGGGCGUAAAGGGCUUGUAGGCGGUUUUAUAAGUUUUAAAUUAAAUCUUGAGGCUCAACCUCAAAAUCUUUGAAAAUACUGUAAGACUAGAGGAUAAUCGGGGUAAAUGGAAUUCCCGGUGUAGCAGUGAAAUGCGUUGA